AGCAGCCGCGGUAAUUCCAGCUCCAAUAGCGUAUAUUAAAGUUGUUGCAGUUAAAAAGCUCGUAGUUGAAUUUCGGGAUCAAUAUAUUGGUCAUGCUUAGGUAUGUACUGGUAUUAUUGAUUUCUCCCUUCUGAAGAACCAUAAUGUCAUUAAUUUGAUGUCAUGGGGAAUCAGGACUGUUACUUUGAAAAAAUUAGAGUGUUUAAAGCAGGCUUUCGCUUGAAUACAUUAGCAUGGAAUAAUGAAAUAGGACGUUUGAUUCUAUUUUGUUGGUUUCUAGGAUCGACGUAAUGAUUAAUAGGGAUAGUUGGGGGCAUUAGUAUUCAAUUGUCAGAGGUGAAAUUCUUGGAUUUAUUGAAGACUAACUACUGCGAAAGCAUUUGCCAAGGAUGUUUUCAUUAAUCAAGAACGAAAGUUAGGGGAUCGAAGACGAUCAGAUACCGUCGUAGUCUUAACCAUAAACUAUGC
RNAcentral lists this ribosomal RNA (468 nucleotides) under uncultured Glomus. RNAcentral describes it as "SSU rRNA". It matches the Rfam family "Eukaryotic small subunit ribosomal RNA", at positions 569 to 1042 of the family's 1831-position model. The record is from RNAcentral. Lineage: Eukaryota; Fungi; Glomeromycota; Glomeromycetes; Glomerales; Glomeraceae.